GCUGCCUUUAUCUUCCUCUCAUUCUGCUGAGAGCUAAUCCCAGGAGAGCCCACGAAUACAACAGAAAACAUCUGGCUGGAUAUUCGAGUGUAGGAGCAAGAGCAAACUGUUUUCUAGCAGCUGCAGUUCUCUGCAGGAAAGGAGCUAAGGAUCCCGGGAAGCUGCCUGACCCACAUUGGAAGGACCACUCCCAUCCUUGGCUAAGUAACACUUGAUGCAGUGUAAGAACUCGGUGAAGAAACGAAUGUAGCAGAUAAAGAGGCCAGGUGCUGGUGAUGCAAAUGAAAUAGAUGACAGAUGCAAGCUGCCGUGUUGUGAGCUACCCUGUGAAAAGACAAGGAACUGAGGCCUCUAGCCAAUAGCCAGGAAGAAACUAAGGUCUGCCCGGAGCCAAUGAGUUAGCUUGGAAGAGGAUCCUACCUGGGUUGAGUUUUGAGAUGACUACACACUUUUGAGAGAUCCUGAGCCAGAGGACCCAGGUUUCAGAAGAUAUCAGAGAAGACAUUUGAGAACAUGAAGUAGUGUGGACUUCCACAAUUAUGCCCUUGUGCGUCCCAGGCUGUGAUGAAAAAUACCUAACAGAAGGAUCUGGAAAUGUAUUUUGAGUUUCUCAGAGUUGCUGGUCGCCUGGAGAGCAAACACAAUGCUUCUACUGCUCUGGAAAAUCUGAAGCUACAAAGAUGAUUUUCAAAAUUAAGGGCAACUCACAGCUGAAAAUUAUACCUUUGGGCAAAGGGCCAAUUCGGGAUGCGUUUCUCUCUGAUUUGGAGCCAUGCCAAAGUCCCUCAGUCCCAUUUGUUCAGUUUUACAGCUAACAAACAAAAAGGAAAUACUGAGAAUGUA
Long non-coding RNA from Pan troglodytes (chimpanzee), 843 nucleotides. RefSeq lists it as uncharacterized. NCBI's taxonomy places the organism in Eukaryota, Metazoa, Chordata, Mammalia, Primates, Hominidae. The record is from RefSeq and is a predicted model, not a curated record. The transcript has 5 exons.